AAAUAUGACUAGCUUGCAUAGGAACUACACCACAAUCACCUCAUCACUAUACUUCCCAAUAGUAAAAGGCACCCUCACUUGCUUAUUAACUCUCACCUCCCCACUAUUGUUAAGCCAUUGCAGCUUAUAAGGUUUAUGAUGUUUUAUAGUUUCCAAACCCAGUUUAUCAACAAAUAAGGUACUAGCCACAUUUACACAACUACCCCCAUCAAUAAUCAUGCUACACAAUUUUCUAUUCACUAGACAUCUAGAAUGAAAAAUAUUCUCUCUUUGCAACUUAACCCCCUCAUCAUCAAUCCUUAUUUGCAUAUUCAACUUAACCCCCUCAUAUAGUUAUGGGCUCAUUCUUGUAAUAACACUAAGACAAGACUUAAGCCCAAAAUGAGUUAUACUUAACUAUAUGGGCUUAAUUAACUCAAACUAAAAUAAAACAAUCCAAAAUACUUAAAACAACUCAACUAAUUCAGCCCAUACACAAGGCUUAUUCAUCCAUUAUCAAUAUGACUCAAACAAGUCCUAAUUAUCCCAAAUCACUUAAAUCCAAUUAAAGUUACGAAUUUGGGCUGUUCAAAAAGCUCAUAUUUGAACUUUCAACAAUUGGCCAGCCCAUCAUCCACAUGUUUUUAAGUAAAAACUUGGAGAAACUCUUUAGGUUUCUUUGCCUUUGAUCUUGUUACUGGUCUGCUGAAACUUUCCAGAUUUGGAACUGUAUUUGUGUUUACAUCAUUUGAAAUUUGCUCCAAGUUACCUUCUGAUGCUCUUUGAGUAUCUUGAAUGUUUUUAGCCUUGUUUGCAUCACUGUCUUUAUGAUUGAUAGACGGGACUGUUUGGUGAUACAUUCAAGUAUUGAUAACGCAGUUCUAAGUACUCCUAUGGUUAUUAACGCAUAGUUAAGUGUCACAUAAAGCUCAAAUGGGAGAUUGUUAGAUUUUUCUAACGUGUGGGUUUAAUGUGGACCUUAGUAUGCGUAUCAGAUUGUUAAUUUAGUGGGCUCUUUUAAAAUGAUCAAAUAUGGUUAAACAAUAUUGAACCUUAAUGCAUCAGGUUUAAGUAUAU
Molecule: long non-coding RNA, 1056 nt
Filed under: Carica papaya (papaya)
Lineage: Eukaryota; Viridiplantae; Streptophyta; Magnoliopsida; Brassicales; Caricaceae
Description: long non-coding RNA (CPAP_LNC004441)
Source: RNAcentral